AGUGAACGCUGGCGGUAGGCCUAACACAUGCAAGUCGAACGGCAGCACAGUAAGAGCUUGCUCUUACGGGUGGCGAGUGGCGGACGGGUGAGGAAUACAUCGGAAUCUACUUUUUCGUGGGGGAUAACGUAGGGAAACUUACGCUAAUACCGCAUACGACCUACGGGUGAAAGCAGGGGAUCUUCGGACCUUUCGCGAUUGAAUGAGCCGAUGUCGGAUUAGCUAGUUGGCGGGGUAAAGGCCCACCAAGGCGACGAUCCGUAGCUGGUCUGAGAGGAUGAUCAGCCACACUGGAACUGAGACACGGUCCAGACUCCUACGGGAGGCAGCAGUGGGGAAUAUUGGACAAUGGGCGCAAGCCUGAUCCAGCCAUACCGCGUGGGUGAAGAAGGCCUUCGGGCUGUAAAGCCCUUUUGUUGGGAAAGAAAAGCAGCAGGUUAAUACCCCGCUGUUCUGACGGUACCCAAAGAAUAAGCACCGGCUAACUUCGUG
RNAcentral lists this ribosomal RNA (492 nucleotides) under uncultured bacterium. Its description in RNAcentral is "partial 16S ribosomal RNA". It matches the Rfam family "Bacterial small subunit ribosomal RNA", at positions 29 to 507 of the family's 1533-position model. The record is from RNAcentral.